RNAcentral lists this ribosomal RNA (228 nucleotides) under uncultured bacterium. RNAcentral's name for it is "partial 16S ribosomal RNA". It matches the Rfam family "Bacterial small subunit ribosomal RNA", at positions 97 to 334 of the family's 1533-position model. The record is from RNAcentral.
GGCGGACGGGUGAGUAACACGUGAGAAUUUACCUUUAGGAGGGGGAUAACAAUCGGAAACGAAUGCUAACACCCCAUAUGCUUUCGAGUGAAAUGGAUUUAUAUUUAUCCGCCUAGAGAGAAGCUCGCGGCUGAUUAGCUUGUUGGUAAGGUAAGAGCUUACCAAGGCGACGAUCAGUAUCUGGUUUGAGAGGACGAUCAGACACACUGGAACUGAGACACGGUCCAG